GGUGGCGUAGUUCAGUUGGUUAGAAUGCCGGCCUGUCACGCCGGAGGUCGCGAGUUCGAGUCUCGUCGUCACCGCAA
Molecule: transfer RNA, 77 nt
Filed under: Draconibacterium orientale
Lineage: Bacteria; Pseudomonadati; Bacteroidota; Bacteroidia; Marinilabiliales; Prolixibacteraceae
Also listed under: 4 other names
Description: tRNA-Asp
Rfam family: tRNA
About the family: Transfer RNA (tRNA) molecules are approximately 80 nucleotides in length. Their secondary structure includes four short double-helical elements and three loops (D, anti-codon, and T loops).
Source: RNAcentral